This 1403-nucleotide ribosomal RNA is filed under the name Weissella cibaria. RNAcentral describes it as "bacterial SSU rRNA". It matches the Rfam family "Bacterial small subunit ribosomal RNA". Lineage: Bacteria; Bacillati; Bacillota; Bacilli; Lactobacillales; Lactobacillaceae. The record is from RNAcentral.
UUUUUAAAACUUGACCCCCUUUUGACGGGGGGAAACCUUUGGAAAACCGGGUUUAAAUCCCGUUAACAAUGGGCCACCCCAUGGUUGCUACUUAAAAGAUGGUUCUGCUAUCACUAAGAGAUGGUCCCGCGGUGCAUUAAGUUAGUUGGUGAGGUAAUGGCUCACCAAGACGAUGAUGCAUAGCCGAGUUGAGAGACUGAUCGGCCCACAAUGGGACUGAGACACGGCCCAUACUCCUACGGGAGGCAGCAGUAGGGAAUCUUCCACAAUGGGCGAAAGCCUGAUGGAGCAACGCCGCGUGUGUGAUGAAGGGUUUCGGCUCGUAAAACACUGUUGUAAGAGAAGAAUGACAUUGAGAGUAACUGUUCAAUGUGUGACGGUAUCUUACCAGAAAGGAACGGCUAAAUACGUGCCAGCAGCCGCGGUAAUACGUAUGUUCCAAGCGUUAUCCGGAUUUAUUGGGCGUAAAGCGAGCGCAGACGGUUAUUUAAGUCUGAAGUGAAAGCCCUCAGCUCAACUGAGGAAUUGCUUUGGAAACUGGAUGACUUGAGUGCAGUAGAGGAAAGUGGAACUCCAUGUGUAGCGGUGAAAUGCGUAGAUAUAUGGAAGAACACCAGUGGCGAAGGCGGCUUUCUGGACUGUAACUGACGUUGAGGCUCGAAAGUGUGGGUAGCAAACAGGAUUAGAUACCCUGGUAGUCCACACCGUAAACGAUGAGUGCUAGGUGUUUGAGGGUUUCCGCCCUUAAGUGCCGCAGCUAACGCAUUAAGCACUCCGCCUGGGGAGUACGACCGCAAGGUUGAAACUCAAAGGAAUUGACGGGGACCCGCACAAGCGGUGGAGCAUGUGGUUUAAUUCGAAGCAACGCGAAGAACCUUACCAGGUCUUGACAUCCCUUGACAACUCCAGAGAUGGAGCGUUCCCUUCGGGGACAAGGUGACAGGUGGUGCAUGGUUGUCGUCAGCUCGUGUCGUGAGAUGUUGGGUUAAGUCCCGCAACGAGCGCAACCCUUAUUACUAGUUGCCAGCAUUCAGUUGGGCACUCUAGUGAGACUGCCGGUGACAAACCGGAGGAAGGUGGGGAUGACGUCAAAUCAUCAUGCCCCUUAUGACCUGGGCUACACACGUGCUACAAUGGCGUAUACAACGAGUUGCCAACCCGCGAGGGUGAGCUAAUCUCUUAAAGUACGUCUCAGUUCGGAUUGUAGGCUGCAACUCGCCUACAUGAAGUCGGAAUCGCUAGUAAUCGCGGAUCAGCACGCCGCGGUGAAUACGUUCCCGGGUCUUGUACACACCGCCCGUCACACCAUGAGAGUUUGUAACACCCAAAGCCGGUGGGGUAACCUUCGGGAGCCAGCCGUCUAAGGUGGGACAGAUGAUUAGGGGGAAGUCGAACCAGUUAGG